ACUCCUACGGGAGGCAGCAGCGGGGAAUAUUGGACAAUGGGCGAAAGCCUGAUCCAGCCAUGCCGCGUGUGUGAAGAAGGUCUUCGGAUUGUAAAGCACUUUAAGUUGGGAGGAAGGGUUGUAGAUUAAUACUCUGCAAUUUUGACGUUACCGACAGAAUAAGCACCGGCUAACUUCGUGCCAGCAGCCGCGGUAAU
Molecule: ribosomal RNA, 197 nt
Filed under: uncultured Pseudomonas sp.
Lineage: Bacteria; Pseudomonadati; Pseudomonadota; Gammaproteobacteria; Pseudomonadales; Pseudomonadaceae
Description: partial 16S ribosomal RNA
Rfam family: Bacterial small subunit ribosomal RNA
Source: RNAcentral